Molecule: long non-coding RNA, 1915 nt
Filed under: Gossypium barbadense (sea-island cotton)
Lineage: Eukaryota; Viridiplantae; Streptophyta; Magnoliopsida; Malvales; Malvaceae
Description: long non-coding RNA (GBAR_LNC003740)
Source: RNAcentral
UAUGUAUUUAGAGAAUGUUUGUUUCACUGUUUUCGUUUUCAUGCGUUUGGUUCAGGAGGGAAAAUGAGUGGAGUCAAUCUAAAAGAUUUUACCGGUCAACGUAAAAACCCAUGUUUUUUUUUUCUUUAAAAUAUCUUUACCCUUUAAUUUUCCAUCCUUUCUUUCUCAUCAUCUAUCGAGAGAUCAUCCUGCCCUUUUUCUUAUUCUCUUCCCGGUGGCACCAUCCAACAUCUCCCACCAGCAACAUUACCGGUAAGACUUGUCUCAUGCUCCUCCAUCUUUCCCUCCUACUUUCUCUCUUGCACCAAAAUUCGUUCCUUCACCCAUCUCUGCUAUCAGUUCCUGGGCAUGGGUAUCUCAUUCCCACAAAACUUAAGAGACUCGUCUUACCGUUUCUUAUGCUUCAUCUAGGCUGCCCUUUGCUUGUUAUUUUCUUGUUACAUAGAAGCCCAAAAUCCAUAAAAAUUGAACUCAUAUCUAUUCUUUUUUUGGGGUCACCAUGCCUCGAGUGAUCCUGACAGAUGGGAUCUCUAUCUCUUGCUUUUCUACCUCUUAUCAUCAAUUACAACCUUGAUCAUAAAGAAAUGCGAAAUUUUGUGUAUUGUUGAGAAUUUCCUUCUAAUGCAUGUUGAUUAGAAAAUGAAAACGGGAAGACAGAUAGGAAACUAGGAUGCAAUUUAUGCAACUUCAUGAUAUGCUUCUUAAGUUUAACCAUGACUUAAACACUUUUUUUCUUUUUUUGUAUUAAAGCAUAGCUGGUUCUUCGUUUCACCUCCGUUGGCUAAUGAUAUAGGUUUAAUGCACUGCUUCCUUGAAUGGGAUUCAUCCACUUUGUUUAAUGCAUUUUUUUACUAUUCAAUUUGCAAUUUUCAAUAUCAGAUGUACGUUUCAGAUGCUUUAAAGUUCACAGGCACUACGAAAUAAGUCAUUUUUUGGGAGCACUUUUCUCCCUAAUUUUUCUUUUUAAAGUGAAUAGAAUAUCAAGAACUUCGAGAUUCACAAUCAGUUUGUUUAAUGCAUUUUUCCAUUACACGUGUGAUGAUGGUACUGGAUAAUCUAUUUGGUUAAAUCAGAUUUGAUUACACAUAAAUUUCCUGUGUAAUGAAAUUGAUGUUGCAAAUUAGCAGGUUUAUAGUUGUGAGGUUUUCUACUUCUGCAUAGUUGUCUUCUAUAAGUUGAAUUUGAGAUUAAACAACUCCAUAGAUGGAUGGUUAACAUGAACCUACAAGGAUUUCAGCUGAAAAAUGCAAGAGAGCCAUUACAUGAAAUUUGAAUGUGGAAAAAGGACACAGAGAGCAAAGGAGAGCCCCAAGUGCUAGUUAAGGUUAUCAUGUAGCUUUUUUAAUAUUUCAUUAAUUCUUGUGUUAAAAGCCAGUUCCUCUGAGACAUUACAACUGCAAUAUUAGACUAUUGCAGGUUAGCAAGAUCACUGGCUUGCAAUGGCACUUCACCUUUAUAACAUCUAGGAGGGUAGCUAAAUUUGUUAUCAUAAGUAGUAGUGUGAUAGGAUUUAUAGCAAUGCACAUGAUGAUCUAAAGCCAUUUGUUGAUGUAGGUGUCUAACUAGCUCAUAAAUGGAUGAGUUCGUUAUUGGAAACCAACGGUGGAAGAACUAGGCAUGCUUGAGAUCAAAGGCUUGGCAGAAUGCAAUCAGAACUUGAGAAAAAAGUGAUAAAAUCUACUAGUGAAUGAGGUACCAGUCGCCCAAAUGAAGACCAAUCUAUCAACACUAGUGAUUAUGCUAGUAUUAUUGACAUAUGUUAUGGUUUGCUACGAAUGUUCUUGGAUACCUAAAUCUUAAAAUUAUGUAUACUAGUAUUGAUUAUGGGAGGUUGGCAUUAGCAAUUGUAGAUACGAUAAACUUGUAUUUAAUGUUGUCUAGCUUUAAUGUUUCAGCUGACAAUUGUAGAUUCUGU